Molecule: ribosomal RNA, 903 nt
Filed under: Triticum aestivum (bread wheat)
Lineage: Eukaryota; Viridiplantae; Streptophyta; Magnoliopsida; Poales; Poaceae
Description: partial small subunit ribosomal RNA
Source: RNAcentral
AUGGCGGCGAAGGUGCUCCAGCUCCGUAGCUCCGACGGCAAGGUGCUCGUCGCUCCGGCGUGGGACUAUCGCCCGACCGCCACCCAAGCCCUCCCGCUGAAGAUGCGGGUGCCCUCGCGCGUCCUCGAGAGGGUGCUUGAGUACUGGACCAAGCACAGCCUGGCCAAGGCCACCAGUGAGUCCCGGGAGUCCCUCGCCCGCUGGGACGCCGACUUCCAGCGCCGUCUCGAGGAAGACGGCCUCGCCAAGGAGGCCGCUGCAGCCGCCCAAGAACUCCGCCGCUACGUCGACCAUGGAGGGCGUCCCCAUCGCCACGCCGCCACGGCCGCGUCUCAUGUCGCUGCUCCUGCCAAGGCGGCCCGUGCUGAUCCCGUCCGUGCCUGGUGCCCACUUGUUCACCACCUCAAGGGUGUCAACCAAGGAGAACGCAGCCCUGCGCCGGCGAUUCCCGGCUCCUUCGAUGCCUCUGAUAUUGCCUCCGCCGCGCGCCCUGGGCCUGCCACCACCUUGCCGGCUGCUGCUGGUGCUGACCCCGUGGAUGUCCGGUGCGCGAUCCGUGCCCGUGGACGCCAGAUGGCUGAAGACGAGGAGUCCGCUUGCCACCACCGCAAGCGCCCGGCUUCCAAGGCUCCACUCUGCCUGCCUGCCACUGCUGUUGCGCCCGUGAAGAAGGUCUCUUGUCCCGUCGCUUCCAAGGCCCGCUCUUUCGUCGGCUCUACACCAUUGCCUGUCAUUGCUGCUGCGCCCAGCGUGAAGAAGGCGACUCCAGCUUCAACUCUGCGCGCAAGAAGGGGGAUGGGGGAGCUCAGCUGCAAGAUUCCGAAGCAAAACCGUGUCACCGCUGCAGCACCAAGGAAGCAACCAAUUCCUUGGGUGCGUCCAGUGGUAUUACGCCCUUGCUAG